Molecule: ribosomal RNA, 253 nt
Filed under: uncultured bacterium
Lineage: Bacteria
Description: partial 16S ribosomal RNA
Rfam family: Bacterial small subunit ribosomal RNA
Source: RNAcentral
UACGUAGGGUGCAAGCGUUAAUCGGAAUUACUGGGCGUAAAGCGUGCGCAGGCGGUGAUGUAAGACAGGUGUGAAAUCCCCGGGCUUAACCUGGGAACUGCAUUUGUGACUGCAUCGCUGGAGUGCGGCAGAGGGGGAUGGAAUUCCGCGUGUAGCAGUGAAAUGCGUAGAUAUGCGGAGGAACACCGAUGGCGAAGGCAAUCCCCUGGGCCGAUACUGACGCUCAUGCACGGAAGCGUGGGGAGCAAACAGG